This 247-nucleotide ribosomal RNA is filed under the name uncultured Dechloromonas sp. Its description in RNAcentral is "partial 16S ribosomal RNA". It matches the Rfam family "Bacterial small subunit ribosomal RNA", at positions 527 to 773 of the family's 1533-position model. Lineage: Bacteria; Pseudomonadati; Pseudomonadota; Betaproteobacteria; Rhodocyclales; Azonexaceae. The record is from RNAcentral.
GUAGGGUGCGAGCGUUAAUCGGAAUUACUGGGCGUAAAGCGUGCGCAGGCGGUUGAUUAAGACAGGCGUGAAAUCCCCGGGCUUAACCUGGGAACUGCGCUUGUGACUGGUCAGCUAGAGUACGGCAGAGGGGGGUGGAAUUCCACGUGUAGCAGUGAAAUGCGUAGAGAUGUGGAGGAACACCGAUGGCGAAGGCAGCCCCCUGGGCCGAUACUGACGCUCAUGCACGAAAGCGUGGGUAGCAAAC